UACGUAGAGUGCGAGCGUUGUCCGGAAUUAUUGGGCGUAAAGAGCUUGUAGGCGGUUUGUCGCGUCUGCUGUGAAAAUCCGGGGCUCAACCCCGGACUUGCAGUGGGUACGGGCAGACUAGAGUGUGGUAGGGGAGACUGGAAUUCCUGGUGUAGCGGUGGAAUGCGCAGAUAUCAGGAGGAACACCGAUGGCGAAGGCAGGUCUCUGGGCCACUACUGACGCUGAGAAGCGAAAGCAUGGGGAGCGAACAGG
RNAcentral lists this ribosomal RNA (253 nucleotides) under uncultured bacterium. Its description in RNAcentral is "partial 16S ribosomal RNA". It matches the Rfam family "Bacterial small subunit ribosomal RNA", at positions 524 to 776 of the family's 1533-position model. The record is from RNAcentral.